CUAUCACCCUUAGUCUUCAAACAAGUAUUUUUUCCAUUUUCAGUAAUGAGCCUCUUUAAUUUUGACAUUUUAACAUAAACCAGGUCUUGAUUUCUCUGUCCCUCAGCAGCAACAUUAUGGGAUCCUAGACUGUAGAUCUGAAGUAGCUUCAUGAUGGAGCCCGCCACUGCAGAUUGCUUUUUUUGUACCACUGAAGUCCCAA
Molecule: non-coding RNA, 202 nt
Organism: Pelobates cultripes (western spadefoot toad)
Lineage: Eukaryota; Metazoa; Chordata; Amphibia; Anura; Pelobatidae
Source: the annotation of a GenBank genome assembly